Molecule: ribosomal RNA, 512 nt
Filed under: uncultured microorganism
Description: bacterial SSU rRNA
Rfam family: Bacterial small subunit ribosomal RNA
Source: RNAcentral
GAGUUUGAUCCUGGCUCAGGACGAACGCUGGCGGCGUGCUUAACACAUGCAAGUCGAACGAGAAUCUACUGAAAGAGUUUUCGGACAAUGGAAGUAGAGGAAAGUGGCGGACGGGUGAGUAACGCGUGAGGAACCUGCCUUGAAGAGGGGGACAACAGUUGGAAACGACUGCUAAUACCGCAUGAUGCAUAAGGGUCGCAUGAUUCUUAUGCCAAAGAUUUAUCGCUUCAUGAUGGCCUCGCGUCUGAUUAGCUAGUUGGCGGGGUAACGGCCCACCAAGGCGACGAUCAGUAGCCGGACUGAGAGGUUGAACGGCCACAUUGGGACUGAGAUACGGCCCAGACUCCUACGGGAGGCAGCAGUGGGGAAUAUUGGGCAAUGGGCGCAAGCCUGACCCAGCAACGCCGCGUGAAGGAAGAAGGCUUUCGGUAUGUAAACUUCUAUCAGCGGGGAAGAAAAGUGACGGUACCUGACUAAGAAGCCCCGGCUAACUACGUGCCAGCAGCCGCCGU